This 938-nucleotide ribosomal RNA is filed under the name Amanita sp. 'cruentilemurum'. RNAcentral describes it as "partial large subunit ribosomal RNA". It matches the Rfam family "Eukaryotic large subunit ribosomal RNA", at positions 37 to 962 of the family's 3401-position model. The record is from RNAcentral. Lineage: Eukaryota; Fungi; Basidiomycota; Agaricomycetes; Agaricales; Amanitaceae.
AGCAUAUCAAUAAGCGGAGGAAAAGAAACUAACAAGGAUUCCCUUAGUAACUGCGAGUGAAGAGGGAAAAGCUCAAAUUUAAAAUCUGGCAGUGUCUCACUGUCCGAGUUGUAACCUAGAGAAGUGUAACCUGCGCUGGACCGUGUAUAAGUCUCCUGGAAUGGAGCGUCACAGAGGGUGAGAAUCCCGUCUUUGACAUGGACCACCAGUGCAUUGUGGUUGUGCUCUCAACGAGUCGAGUUGUUUGGGAAUGCAGCUCUAAAUGGGUGGUAAAUUCCAUCUAAAGCUAAAUAUUGGCGAGAGACCGAUAGCGAACAAGUACCGUGAGGGAAAGAUGAAAAGAACUUUGGAAAGAGAGUUAAACAGUAUGUGAAAUUGUUGAAAGGGAAACGUUUGAAGUCAGUCGCGUUGGUUGGGGAUCAGCCUGACAUUGUUGGGUUUACUUCCUGGUCGACGGGCCAACAUCAGUUUUGACUGCCAGAAAAAGGCCAAAGGAAUGUGGCACCUUUGGGUGUGUUAUAGCCCUUGGUCGUAUAUGGUGGUUGGGACUGAGGAAAGCAGCGUGCCGAAAGGCCGGGUUUCGACCACGUUCACGCUGAGGAUGUUGGCAUAAUGGCUUUAAGCGACCCGUCUUGAAACACGGACCAAGGAGUCUAACAUGCAUGCGAGUGUUUGGGUGGAAAACCCUUACGCGUAAUGAAAGUGAAAGUUGAGAUCCCUGUCGUGGGGAGCAUCGACGCCCGGACCAGAACUUUUGGGACGGAUCUGCGGUAGAGCACGUAUGUUGGGACCCGAAAGAUGGUGAACUAUGCCUGAAUAGGGUGAAGCCAGAGGAAACUCUGGUGGAGGCUCGUAGCGAUUCUGACGUGCAAAUCGAUCGUCAAAUUUGGGUAUAGGGGCGAAAGACUAAUCGAACCAUCUAGUAGCUGGUUCCUGCC